RNAcentral lists this non-coding RNA (151 nucleotides) under marine eukaryotic metagenome. Its description in RNAcentral is "Ruegeria cis2 sRNA". It matches the Rfam family "Ruegeria cis2 sRNA". Rfam says of the family: Cis-encoded. The record is from RNAcentral.
UGGUGUUGCGCGGAAAGUAAUUCACGAAAACAAAGCCCCGCGCCUGGUCGAUGGCAUGAAACAGCGGGUUCCAGUCGAACAUGGCGAGCAUGAAGCCCGGCAGCGUGUUGGCGACGAACAUCUUGCCCGAUGCGAUCAUGUUGGCCCGCUG